UCAGGUAGUUGGUGAGGUAACGGCCCACCAAGCCUACGACGGGUACCCGCCUGAGAGGGGACCGGCCACACUGGGACUGAGACCCGGCCCAGAUUCCUACGGGAGGCAGCAGUGGGGAAUAUUGCACAAUGGGCGCAAGCCUGAUGCAGCAACGCCGCGUGAGGGAUGACGGCCUUCGGGUUGUAAACCUCUUUUAGUAGGGAAGAAGCGAAAGUGACGGUACCUGCAGAAAAAGCACCGGCUAACUACGUGCCAGCAGCCGCGGUAAUACGUAGGGUGCGAGCGUUGUCCGGAAUUAUUGGGCGUAAAGAGCUCGUAGGCGGUCUGUCGCGUCUGCUGUGAAAACCCGAGGCUCAACCUCGGGCCUGCAGUGGGUACGGGCAGACUAGAGUGCGGUAGGGGAGAAUGGAAUUCCUGGUGUAGCGGUGGAAUGCGCAGAUAUCAGGAGGAACACCGAUGGCGAAGGCAGUUCUCUGGGCCGUAACUGACGCUGAGGAGCGAAAGCGUGGGGAGCGAACAGGAUUAGAUACCCUGGUAGUCCACGCCGUAAACGUUGGGCGCUAGAUGUGGGGACCAUUCCACGGUUUCCGUGUCGCAGCUAACGCAUUAAGCGCCCCGCCUGGGGAGUACGGCCGCAAGGCUAAAACUCAAAGGAAUUGACGGGGGCCCGCACAAGCGGCGGAGCAUGCGGAUUAAUUCGAUGCAACGCGAAGAACCUUACCAAGGCUUGACAUAUACGAGAACGGGCUAGAAAUAGUCAACUCUUUGGACACUCGUAAACAGGUGGUGCAUGGUUGUCGUCAGCUCGUGUCGUGAGAUGUUGGGUUAAGUCCCGCAACG
This 840-nucleotide ribosomal RNA is filed under the name Leifsonia sp. 4cultural_23. Its description in RNAcentral is "bacterial SSU rRNA". It matches the Rfam family "Bacterial small subunit ribosomal RNA", at positions 241 to 1094 of the family's 1533-position model. Lineage: Bacteria; Bacillati; Actinomycetota; Actinomycetes; Micrococcales; Microbacteriaceae. The record is from RNAcentral.